GCAAGUCGAGGGGUCACAGAGGUAGCUUGCUAUUUGCUGACGACCGGAGCACGGGUGCGUAACGCGUAUACAAUCUACCUUAUACUGGGGAAUCGCCUUUGGAAACGAAGAUUAAUGCCCCAUAGUAUUAUUGAAUGGCAUCGUUUAAUAAUUAAAACUCCGGUGGUAUAAGAUGAGUAUGCGUUCUAUUAGUUAGUUGGCAAGGUAACGGCUUACCAAGACAUCGAUAGAUAGGGGUCCUGAGAGGGAGAUC
RNAcentral lists this ribosomal RNA (253 nucleotides) under uncultured bacterium. Its description in RNAcentral is "partial 16S ribosomal RNA". It matches the Rfam family "Bacterial small subunit ribosomal RNA", at positions 57 to 305 of the family's 1533-position model. The record is from RNAcentral.